UGAGGAAUUUUGCGCAAUGGGAGCAAUCCUGACGCAGCAACGCCGCGUGGGUGAUGAAGGCCUUCGGGUCGUAAAGCCCUGUCAGGUGGGAAGAAUGUCCCGGGACUGAACAGGUUCCGGGAGUGACGGUACCACCAGAGGAAGCACCGGCUAACUCCGUGCCAGCAGCCGCGGUAAUACGGAGGGUGCAAGCGUUAUUCGGAAUUACUGGGCGUAAAGCGCGUGUAGGCGGUCCUGCAAGUCUGAUGUGAAAGCCCCGGGCUUAACCCGGGAAGUGCAUUGGAAACUGUGUGACUUGAGUACUGGAGAGGAUUGGGGAAUUCCCGGUGUAGAGGUGAAAUUCGUAGAGAUCGGGAGGAAUAUCAGUGGCGAAGGCGCACAUCUGGACGGUAACUGACGCUGAGACGCGAAAGCGUGGGGAGCAAACA
Molecule: ribosomal RNA, 428 nt
Filed under: uncultured prokaryote
Description: bacterial SSU rRNA
Rfam family: Bacterial small subunit ribosomal RNA
Source: RNAcentral